This 508-nucleotide ribosomal RNA is filed under the name uncultured Pseudomonadota bacterium. RNAcentral describes it as "bacterial SSU rRNA". It matches the Rfam family "Bacterial small subunit ribosomal RNA", at positions 397 to 896 of the family's 1533-position model. The record is from RNAcentral. Lineage: Bacteria; Pseudomonadati; Pseudomonadota.
CCGCGUGAGUGAAGAAGGCCUUCGGGUUGUAAAGCUCUUUCGGUGGGAACGAAACGGUCACGGUGAACAGCCGUGAUCAAUGACGGUACUCACAGAAGAAGCACCGGCUAACUACGUGCCAGCAGCCGCGGUAAUACGUAGGGUGCGAGCGUUAAUCGGAAUUACUGGGCGUAAAGCGUGCGCAGGCGGCUGGCUAAGACAGGUGUGAAAUCCCCGGGCUCAACCUGGGAAUGGCGCUUGUGACUGGCCGGCUCGAGUGCGGCAGAGGGAGGUGGAAUUCCACGUGUAGCAGUGAAAUGCGUAGAGAUGUGGUGGAACACCGAUGGCGAAGGCAGCCUCCUGGGCCGACACUGACGCUCAUGCACGAAAGCGUGGGGAGCAAACAGGAUUAGAUACCCUGGUAGUCCACGCCCUAAACGAUGUCGACUGGUUGUUGGGGAAGGCAACUUCCUUAGUAACGAAGCUAACGCGUGAAGUCGACCGCCUGGGGAGUACGGCCGCAAGGUUA